UGCAGCCAUGAUGUUUCAGUUGCAAAGGACU
Molecule: non-coding RNA, 31 nt
Filed under: Rattus norvegicus (Norway rat)
Lineage: Eukaryota; Metazoa; Chordata; Mammalia; Rodentia; Muridae
Source: RNAcentral